CAGGGAGACAACAAAAUGUUAAAUAUUAAUUUUGUCACCUUAGGUCGAUCGGUAUCUCACAUUCUUAAUUAAUUUAAGGAUUUUAUUUCCUAAGUUUUUUCUAGGUCACACCCAUUACUUUUUCCUGGGCCAUUAGCUCAGGUGGUUAGAGCGCACCCCUGAUAAGGGUGAGGUCCCUGGUUCAAGUCCAGGAUGGCCCAUAUCUCUAUGUUGGGGGUAUAGCUCAGUUGGUAGAGCGCCUGCUUUGCAAGCAGGAUGUCAGCGGUUCGAGUCCGCUUACCUCCACUGAUCACCACCUCUUCCAUAAUUUAUAGAAGGGAAUUGUUUUGAGUUGUGAUCAAAUCCUGAACGAAUCUAGCUUCCUAAUCAAACGUAUUAAGAUGCUGGACUCAUUGAAUUAAUUUCAUUGUUUUCAGAGAACCUUGACAACUGCAUAGAUUAUUUUUAAAGACAAUAAGCAUCUUUAAUGAUGCAGAUUUAUUAUUUGUGCGAAUGCAUUAAUAACAAUUCUAUUAAGCUGAUGCUUCAAUUUUUGAAGUUAUU
This 543-nucleotide transfer RNA is filed under the name uncultured Prochlorococcus sp. RNAcentral's name for it is "partial 16S-23S ribosomal RNA intergenic spacer". The stretch from base 213 to 285 matches the Rfam family "tRNA". The record is from RNAcentral. Lineage: Bacteria; Bacillati; Cyanobacteriota; Cyanophyceae; Synechococcales; Prochlorococcaceae.